Molecule: unclassified non-coding RNA, 328 nt
Filed under: soil metagenome
Description: partial contains 5.8S ribosomal RNA, internal transcribed spacer 2, and large subunit ribosomal RNA
Rfam family: 5.8S ribosomal RNA (bases 1-120)
Source: RNAcentral
GAUGAAGAACGUAGCAAAAUGCGAUAAGUAAUGUGAAUUGCAGAAUUCAGUGAAUCAUCGAAUCUUUGAACGCACAUUGCGCCCCUUGGUAUUCCGAGGGGCAUGCCUGUUCGAGCGUCAUUAUAACCCUCAAGCUCAGCUUGGUGUUGGGGCCUGCUGCAGUGGCAGCCCUUAAAAUCAGUGGCGGCGCCAUCUGGCUCUAAGCGUAGUAAUUCUUCUCGCUAUGGAGUCCUGGUGGAUGCUUGCCAUCAACCCCCAAUUUUUCUAUGGUUGACCUCGGAUCAGGUAGGGAUACCCGCUGAACUUAAGCAUAUCAAUAAGCGGAGGA